UAGAACUCUUAACUUGAGAAGUGGAAUGAUAGAGUAACGUCUUGAAACGCUUCCCCUAAUACUCCGACAUGCGCCUUCUAGUUUUGCGACAUAAGAAGGGGUCUGAAGCUCGGUGAAGUCAUCUGAAAAAUUACCGAAGUACCUAUUUUAACAGGCAACCGAAAAGGAUCUCAGAGGUGAGUCCCGUAGUUGAUAGGGUGGGGGUCACAAAA
Bacillus cereus ATCC 10987 is the source of this 212-nucleotide non-coding RNA. The record is from Rfam. Lineage: Bacteria; Bacillati; Bacillota; Bacilli; Caryophanales; Bacillaceae.